CCUACGGGUGGCAGCAGUGGGGAAUAUUGCACAAUGGAGGAAACUCUGACCCAGCAAUGCCGCGUGAAUGAAGAAGGUCUUCGGAUUGUAAAGUUCUUUAGUCAGGGAAGAAGUCAAUGACGGUACCUGAAGAAUAAGCUCCGGCUAACUACGUGCCAGCAGCCGCGGUAAUACGUAGGGAGCAAGCGUUGUUCGGAAUGACUGGGCGUAAAGGGAGCGUAGACGGCAGCGCAAGUCUGGAGUGAAAUCCCAUGGCUUAACCAUGGAACUGCUUUGGAAACUGUGCAGCUGGAGUGCAGGAGAGGUAAGCGGAAUUCCUAGUGUAGCGGUGAAAUGCGUAGAUAUUAGGAGGAACACCAGUGGCGAAGGCGGCUUACUGGACUGUAACUGACGUUGAGGCUCGAAAGCGUGGGGAGCAAACAGGAUUAGAUACCCCUGUAGUC
RNAcentral lists this ribosomal RNA (443 nucleotides) under uncultured bacterium. RNAcentral's name for it is "partial 16S ribosomal RNA". It matches the Rfam family "Bacterial small subunit ribosomal RNA", at positions 338 to 795 of the family's 1533-position model. The record is from RNAcentral.